Long non-coding RNA from Patella vulgata (common limpet), 551 nucleotides. RefSeq lists it as uncharacterized. Lineage: Eukaryota; Metazoa; Mollusca; Gastropoda; Patellidae. The transcript has 3 exons. The record is from RefSeq and is a predicted model, not a curated record.
ACCGUGUCAUAGCACGUAUCCAAAAUAAAUGGUUUUUAACACAUUUUAAGUAUAAAUACUGCUCUUGGAUUGAUAUUUAUACAUCAUAUACAAGUGCAUUUAUUAAACAUUGCAUCGUACACGAGGCAGGCCAACAUUUAUUUUUAAAAAUGUCUGAAGUCCGAUACGUCGCUUUAAUAUUGGUUAUAAUGAUAGUGAAUCAGACCGAUGGAUGGCUUUUGAGAAGGGGAUGGAACGCGAAAAACUGUUUCUGUAAGGCCGUGGACAACAGCAAUUAUGGUAGGAUUUUGCACGACUUUGGCUCCAUUCAGAGUUGUAGGGGUUGGCUUGGAUGUGGAUGUGGUAAUUCAGCUAUGAUAUCAUGCGGAACAGCUUGUGAGGCGAAAGUCAGAUCGUGGACCAAGAACAACUGCCCAAGUCAAUACAGGUCGACAAAGAUUCGAGCUUCUUACUCCGCUAGUGUUUGUCACACUGGACAGGGUGGACAAAUUUUAUCUUGUGGGAAAUAAAUUGCAUGACCAUGAUGCGAGAUAAAAAUAUGUGCCUAUAAA